UACGUAGGGGGCGAGCGUUGUCCGGAUUUAUUGGGCGUAAAAGGCUUGUAGGUGGCCACGCCAAGUCGGAUGUGAAAUCUCCCGGCUCAACUGGGAGGGGUCAUUCGAUACUGGUGGGCUCGAGGCCGGUAGGGGGAAGUGGAAUUCCCGGUGUAGUGGUGGAAUGCGUAGAUAUCGGGAGGAACACCAGUGGCGAAGGCGGCUUCCUGGACCGGUUCUGACACUGAGGAGCGAAAGCGUGGGGAGCGAUCCGG
This 254-nucleotide ribosomal RNA is filed under the name uncultured bacterium. Its description in RNAcentral is "partial 16S ribosomal RNA". It matches the Rfam family "Bacterial small subunit ribosomal RNA", at positions 524 to 776 of the family's 1533-position model. The record is from RNAcentral.